CCAUUUUAUUUCAUUCUAAACCAGUGCUCGCCUUUUAAUAGUUCGUUUUUGUGAAAUUAGCGGUAAGCGUUUUUAUUUAUCAAGAGGAAAAAUACCUGGUUAAUUUAAUUAAAGACAUUAACUUUUGCACCAAAAUGAUCAAAGCACCAGAAAAUAUUUAUCCAGCGGGUAUUAAGCUAGAGGAACAUCAGAAUGGAGGAGAAGUGGAAAUUGAUCACCUUCGCAAAAUGUUCAUUGGCGGCCUGUCGGCAGUAACAACCGAAGAGUCACUUCGCGCUUUCUAUAAGCAAUGGGGCGAUGUAGUUGACGCGAUAGUAAUGCGUGAUCCAGCAACAAAGCGUUCCCGGGGAUUUGGAUUUAUUACAUACUCUGACACGUAUAUGGUUGAUCGCGCACAAGCCGCACGACCACAUGUAAUUGACGGAAAGCAGGUAGAUUCAAAGCGUGCUUUGCCCAAGCCUGAACUUGGAAAGCCAGAAGCUAGUACUACAGUAAAAAAAAUCUUUGUUGGCGGCUUAAAAGAAAAUCACGAUGAACAGACUUUAACCGAACACUUUUCACAAUUCGGUAAUGUAGUUGGAGUUAAAAUUCUAACGGAUAAAACAACUGGUCGCAAACGGGGCUUUGCAUUUGUAGAGUUUGAUGACUAUGAUGCAGUGGACAAAGCAGUGUUGCACAAAAAUCACACAAUUAAAUAUGUUCUGGUAGAUGUGAAAAAAUCAGUUUACAAACAAGAGUUGGCUAAGAAACGCGCCACGCAGGCACAACAGGCAGGCGUUCCCCCAGGCGGAGCACCGCCAGCAAAUGGCUACCAACAACCUGCCACGCCCUAUGCCCAACAGCCAGCUUAUGGAUAUCCACCACAAAUGGGUCCACCGGCAUACAAUGGAUGGGGAGGAUAUCCCCAAGCUGCGCCACCAGCUGCAUACCAACAACCACCUCCAGCUGCACCUGUCGCGGGCUAUGGCGCUUAUACAGCUCCGCCUCAAAACGGUGGUGCUCCUGGCUGGGGUGCGCCUGCCGCUUAUCCAGCACCUGCAGCUUGGCCGCAAAAUGGUUACGCAGCAGCCCCACCCGCUGCUGCACCUGUCCCACCACCAGCUGCCGCACCUGCAGCUGCACCUGCCGUAAAUAGUUGGAAUGGUGCUGCUGCUGCUCCAACUCCAGCCGCUCCUCAAAAUUUUGGUGAUUACCAACAAUCAUACAACGGUGGCCCACAAAAAGCAGGCAGCUUACAAGGAAACAGAAUGAACCCAUAUAGUGUGUCGUCAGCGCCUAGUUAUGAAACGUUCUUCACAGGGUCAGCCGCUUCUGCCGGUUACCUGAAUACGUCGAAAUCGGCGGGCAUGUGUUCAUCUGUAAACUCUGCUUAUAAAACACAGACAAAGCACUUAUACUAGACUAUAGAAAUAAAGCGGAUUAAACCAACCAUUAUGUACAAUAUAAAGCUAUUCAGUAAGAAAAUUGACUUAAAAAAACGGAAGGGGGAAAUACUUCAAAAUUAUAUAUGAAUGCGUGUUGCCACAGGCAUUUAAGAUGUAUGCUUAUACAUAAAAUUAAAGUACUACUACAUAAAUAACCAGAAUUAUUUUAAGAGAAACAAGUAAAAAAAUUCAAACCAACCCAAAUCCAACCCCAUGAAAGAAAGAUUUACAUAAAAUGCACUACGUACAUUACAUAGAGCAAUACAAAGAACAAAACGUAAAAACGCACUUCAUUAAGGAUGAAUAUCGAUAUUUAUAGUUUCAAUAUAUGUAUGAAUCUAUGUAUUUUUAAACUAUAAUUUAAAUAAUCCAUAUGCUGGUAUAUACACAUUAAUAUGUAGCGUACAGCAAUAAUAUAGUAGAUCACUUAAUUAGAUGAUGAUUCUUAAUAUCGGAUAAAGUUUUGCCCAUACACAUUACCAGCGUGCUUACAUUUUGACAUAACAAAUAACAAAACAAAAAUGUGAAAUAGCGCAGUGCAAAGAAAAAACCAAAUUAGAUUCCCAGCGAAACACGGAUCAAAAAUGCCUGCUGCAAUAAGAAACUCACCAGCAUUCAAUCACAUAUACAGACAUUGAUCAAUAUGAUAAGAAGCUUAACAUAUAUAAAUUAUCGGCACAGCUGCAAAAGCGCUUCAGAGCUAGCAUGAAACUCUAAAAAGAACGGCAAUGGUUAUUGCUAUUUGUUAUAUUUAUCUUUGCAAUUGAAAAUUGAAGGAUUUUGUUUUAUUUAAUUUUGCUUUUGUUUUUUCUUUAUAUAUAAAACAAGAGAAGUGAACUGUUUGCUUAACAUCCAUGACAUUAAACUUUUUGCUUAAAACAACACCAAUUUCCUUCUAUUUUGUGGCACUUAACUCAUAGAACAGCUGAGUGUGUGUUUUUUUCUUUUGAAUUAGAACUUAAAAUAUUGAAAAUUAUUAAAUGUUUCUAAACGUUGCAAAAUUAAACAAAAACAAAAAAUUUCAAACAAAAAAUAAAAACAAACAUUUUUUACUAUAAUGAUAAUUAAAUAAGUGUGUUACAAUAUAUAUUGUAUUUAGUAGUAAUAUGUAUAAAUACAUUUAUAAUACUUGCGAUUAAAAGCUGAAUUACAAAUAAAGUAUACUAUGCAAUACA
Molecule: RNA transcript, 2599 nt
Organism: Anastrepha ludens (Mexican fruit fly)
Lineage: Eukaryota; Metazoa; Arthropoda; Insecta; Diptera; Tephritidae
Gene name: ribonucleoprotein RB97D-like
Exons: 6
Source: RefSeq, a predicted model, not a curated record